Molecule: long non-coding RNA, 229 nt
Filed under: Arabidopsis lyrata
Lineage: Eukaryota; Viridiplantae; Streptophyta; Magnoliopsida; Brassicales; Brassicaceae
Description: long non-coding RNA (ALYR_LNC001308)
Source: RNAcentral
GCCGGCCCGCGUCCAUCUGGGCCGGCCCGCGAUGGGCAUUUAAAUUUAUGAGACCGCGGCGGGCCGGCCCGCUAGGACCGCGGGCAAAAAUAAUAUGUCCAGGCCCGCCCCGCUAAGCCCAACGGGUUAGCGGGCCGGCCAGCGGGCUUAGUUUUAAAUAUUUUAAAAAUAAUUAAAAAAAUAAAAUUAAUUUUUAAAAUUUGAAAUUAACAAUUUUUCAAUAAAAAAA